RNAcentral lists this ribosomal RNA (407 nucleotides) under uncultured fungus. RNAcentral's name for it is "eukaryotic LSU rRNA". The stretch from base 112 to 265 matches the Rfam family "5.8S ribosomal RNA". The record is from RNAcentral. Lineage: Eukaryota; Fungi.
AAGGAUUUUAGUUAUAAAUUACUAACUAUAAAACCUUGGGCCUGUGUCCGCCAAGGAACCUAAAUACGUGUUAUAAAACCAGUUUGUCUGAGAAUCAAAGAAAAUAACCAAAACUUUCAACAACGGAUCUCUUGGUUCUGGCAUCGAUGAAGAACGCAGCGAAAUGCGACAAGUAAUGUGAAUUGCAGAAUUCCGUGAAUCAUCGAAUCUUUGAACGCACAUUGCGCCCUCUGGUAUUCUGGAGGGCAUGCCUGUCCGAGCGUCAUUGCUAUACUCAAGCCCAGCUUGUGUUGGACUCACUGUCUUGUUGGACAGUAGCCCCAAAGGCAGUGGCAGGGUCCCAGUCCGGUCUUUUCAUGCCGUAUGGGGGAAUUGUCACCCGCUUGAAAAGCUGGCCGGGCCUUUUU